CUGCCCGUUGUGACGUAGGAUUUGGUCGAAAUGUUUUGUCGUAGGUCCAGUAUGACUAAAUCUUAAUUUGUCCUUCUUUUUCCCUUAGAUUCUGGCAGAAUUCUGUCGCUUAGCAAGCAAAAACAAGUUCUUUAAAGAACUUGAUAAAUGCACUUCUCGCUUCCUUGAGAUUUUCAAGUUGGGGUUGUUUGCAAGGAUCUUAUGGAAUAUCUGCAACAAGUCACUCCAGCAAGCACAGAUGUCACUGGGAAGCGGACAGCAGUCCCCCGUGGCCUUCCGGCGAUCAGAGCACUGACUUCAAGACAUGCUUUGACUGCAAUGACCUUCCCAACACAUUGCACACCUCCAUGGGGAUCGGUGCGGCCUAUCCUCGCUCACUGCACCUUGAGUCGACCGCCAAUGCAAUCGUUUUGGAAGUAACACUGGUCUUAAGUGACCUUCAAAAUUUUCCGCAUGCCAUGUGCCUACUCUAUUCACACCCUGAAUUUGGAGUACCCUCAGACUCUGGACACCUGGUGAGUUCAUUCAAAAAGUGCUUCUAUCACUUGGACCAAAAUCCCUGAAACACAAACUUCAGUCACUGAAAAACCUUCUAAAUGCAGUGAGGGACUGUUCAUGAUGCACAUGUUCUGUGACUCUUUACUAAAGAAAAUGAAUGUUUUUACAGUCAUCCAGUGCAGUUGACAAUUGCGUUUGUCAGUUUGUUACACACCAUAGAGAACUUAACAAAGAGAUUCACAAUUCUUCACGAUAAAAGGCAAUUUGUAUGAUUCAUAUUUGGUUAAGUGCCUGUUGUUUUACAGUUAAAUUGGAUUUUAAAUGGACCGCUGAAUUAGACUUUUAAGCGGGAGACAUGAAAACUACAAAAUAAAACGACGUGAAUCCCAAACCGUGACAUCUCUGCCCGCUAUCCUUGCUGCAGAUAUUUUCUCUGAUACCUUGCACUUAUGUACACGCUGAAAUACUUCCCUCCAGUCUGGAUCAAGCUCUCCCUGAAAGGUAGUGUCCAACUCUGCCGUAAACCAACUGCUUGCAUCUCUCUAUGUUCAUACCAAUGAAACCUGCCACUGAAUCAUGAAGGCUCUUUGACUGUGGUCGUUUCAACUUUUCGUUCUCGUCGGCUGACACUUCUGGGAAUGGAUGUUUGACGACUCAGAAGCCCACUCUUGUUUAACCCCAUAGCCUCCAUAUCCAGUUCAACAUAACCCAUGUAGGGAAUUGCCAAAGAGUGCAGUCAACUUGAGCCACUCAUCUUCCUCUUUCCCGAGUAAGUUUUGCCCGAAGAAAGAUUCAGAAACGACUCCCUGUAUCCAACAGCCACUAAUUUGAACCGAAACUUCCCGACACUCGCCCACCGCCCGCUCAACAAACCGCUCACGGUUAAUAGUCUUAGAGCCUGGCUCUUGGCAUCCGAGGUGGCUAGUUUUCCUGAGUAGAUGCAUUGGUGGUAGUGGAAUGGCUUUCUGGUUUGCGCCGUGGACACUCCCUCGCGAUAUGUCCCUCCCCUUUACAUUUGAAGCAAAUGGGCUUCCCGUCUUCUCGUACUUCUCCUUGGUAUUACAGGGCUUGUCUUCAAAGGACCAGGCAAUGGCCUCUUCACGUACCUCUAACAGAGAUGACUGGGGCUUCUCCUUGACCAUUUUACGUAACUCCUCUUCCGAGAGAGGAAUCUUGCACAACCUCAAUGAAUUGGUCUUUGACGGCUAUUGUCACAGCGUCAGGCUUCUGUUUCAGGGCUGAUUGUAGAAUUGCAUGCCAGUGCUCUUGAACCCCUUGAUAAACAUAUGACCUACUUGAAACCUUAUUUAAGGUGUCGAUAGCGUCCAUGGCUUUUUUUCCCGCGUUUCACUCUGUGCCUGUAAUUGUCCUAAAGCAUCAGUCUCUCCCUCUUCGGAGCACUGCUCGUCCUCACUGUCUCCGACAUGGUGAACGGGUCUCUCUGGUGACGGGCUGUCGGAUGUGUUUUCCUCCCCCGAAGCGAACCUUCUCCCUCCACGUUCUCUGUGAGCUAAUCCAAUCUCCAAAUUAUAGACACCCCCCCCCCCUCCUAUUUACGGGUCUUUCUUUUUAAAAAUUUGAGAGCGCCAUUAGCCUUGUAGCUCUCCCAUGAACACACAGCUGAACAACAUCUGCAAACAUGAGACCAACCAAAACAUCGGCGCAUUUAGCAUCAAACUAUACAUUUUCUGAAUUAUCCGCGCACCGUUUUACGUACAUUUUUAAAUGGCUCUGUACAGAGAUGGCAGUCAGAAUGUAUUUACUCAAAGAAAAUUAUCAGCCGCUCCACAGGAGAGUCACGUUAAGAGUGAACUUCACUUCCCGUUUCCCACGUCAUGCUGGCCGUCUCAGAAGCACAGCGCCCUCUGCUGGCUUUAGUGGUGAACGUUAUAUUUCCCCACUGGGCUACACUUAUAAAAUAAAACUGGAAUCUUUUUCUUGACAAAGGAAGAGACAAUGCUGGAUUAACUGUUGGUUAUAGUUUUUAGUAGUAAAUCGUUUUUGCUGUAAAGAUUCUCUAGUUACACCUAAAUCAUGUUAUAAAUGAUGUGCAAAUAAUUAUUUUAAUUAAUGUUAAUCUUUUACUUCCUCCCUCUGCAUUGAAAUGUAGCUGACACUGAUUUGCCUGAACCGAAGGCAAUCCGAAUGGUAAUGUGGCCAACAGAGAAACGUAUGGGUUGAAUAUCUUAUCUGGAUUUUAUCCACGAAGCAAAUGAGGGAUAGGAUUUUGGUAAUCCAUCAAGAACAUGAUAUUAAAGUGAAUAAAGAGAGAAAUAAGUACUGCUGGUAGCACUAGAGUGAAGCUCAGGGGAUCAACAUACUAAGAAGAUUCAUCUUGAGGCGACCAAUACUGUAUGAAACAAUGUUGUAAAAUGUGAAUGUAAAAUAUCUUUUAAAUUCAUAAACAAAGUAGUCACGGUCAAAUAAA
This is a long non-coding RNA of Gasterosteus aculeatus aculeatus (three-spined stickleback), 2926 nucleotides long. RefSeq lists it as uncharacterized. Lineage: Eukaryota; Metazoa; Chordata; Actinopteri; Perciformes; Gasterosteidae. The record is from RefSeq and is a predicted model, not a curated record.